GGUGCCUACGGGGCGCAGCAGUGAGGAAUAUUGGUCAAUGGGCGCAGGCCUGAACCAGCCAAGUAGCGUGAAGGAUGACUGCCCUAUGGGUUGUAAACUUCUUUUAUAUGGGAAUAAAGUUUUCCACGUGUGGAAUUUUGUAUGUACCAUAUGAAUAAGCAUCGGCUAACUCCGUGCCAGCAGCCGCGGCAAUACGGAGGAUGCGAGCGUUAUCCGGAUUUAUUGGGUUUAAAGGGUGCGUAGGCGGGCUUUUAAGUCAGCGGUAAAAAUUCGGGGCUCAACCCCGUCCGGUCGUUGAAACUGGG
Molecule: ribosomal RNA, 305 nt
Filed under: uncultured bacterium
Lineage: Bacteria
Description: bacterial SSU rRNA
Rfam family: Bacterial small subunit ribosomal RNA
Source: RNAcentral